This 321-nucleotide ribosomal RNA is filed under the name uncultured eukaryote. RNAcentral's name for it is "partial 18S ribosomal RNA". It matches the Rfam family "Eukaryotic small subunit ribosomal RNA", at positions 1470 to 1796 of the family's 1831-position model. The record is from RNAcentral.
CCCUUAGAUGUCCUGGGCUGCACGCGCGCUACACUGAUGUGUCCAGUAAGCACCUAACCUAUUCCGAGAGGAGCGGGUAACCUUAGCAAAGCACAUCGUGAUGGGGAUAGAUUAUUGCAAUUAUUAGUCUUGAACGAGGAAUUCCUAGUAAGCGCAAGUCAUUAGCUUGUGCUGAAUACGUCCCUGCCCUUUGUACACACCGCCCGUCGCUCCUACCGAUUGAGUGCUCCGGUGAACAAUUUGGACUGCUUUGAUUCGAUUAGAAUUUGAAGCGGAAAGUUUAGUGAACCUUAUCACUUAGAGGAAGGAGAAGUCGUAACA